CUGAUGCGUUGUUGGGUAGGGGAGCGUUCUGUAAGCCUGCGAAGGUGGCCUGUGAGGGUUGCUGGAGGUAUCAGAAGUGCGAAUGCUGACAUAAGUAACGAUAAAGCGGGUGAAAAGCCCGCUCGCCGGAAGACCAAGGGUUCCUGUCCAACGUUAAUCGGGGCAGGGUGAGUCGACCCCUAAGGCGAGGCCGAAAGGCGUAGUCGAUGGGAAACGGGUUAAUAUUCCCGUACUUGGUGUUACUGCGAAGGGGGGACGGAGAAGGCUAUGUUGGCCGGGCGACGGUUGUCCCGGUUUAAGCGUGUAGGCUGGUUUUCCAGGCAAAUCCGGAAAAUCAAGGCUGAGGCGUGACGACGAGGCACUACGGUGCUGAAGCAACAAAUGCCCUGCUUCCAGGAAAAGCCUCUAAGCAUCAGGUAACACGAAAUCGUACCCCAAACCGACACAGGUGGUCAGGUAGAGAAUACCAAGGCGCUUGAGAGAACUCGGGUGAAGGAACUAGGCAAAAUGGUGCCGUAACUUCGGGAGAAGGCACGCUGACAUGUAGGUGAAGUGAUUUACUCAUGGAGCUGAAGUCAGUCGAAGAUACCAGCUGGCUGCAACUGUUUAUUAAAAACACAGCACUGUGCAAACACGAAAGUGGACGUAUACGGUGUGACGCCUGCCCGGUGCCGGAAGGUUAAUUGAUGGGGUCAGCGCAAGCGAAGCUCCUGAUCGAAGCCCCGGUAAACGGCGGCCGUAACUAUAACGGUCCUAAGGUAGCGAAAUUCCUUGUCGGGUAAGUUCCGACCUGCACGAAUGGCGUAAUGAUGGCCAGGCUGUCUCCACCCGAGACUCAGUGAAAUUGAACUCGCUGUGAAGAUGCAGUGUACCCGCGGCAAGACGGAAAGACCCCGUGAACCUUUACUAUAGCUUGACACUGAACAUUGAGCCUUGAUGUGUAGGAUAGGUGGGAGGCUUUGAAGUGUGGACGCCAGUCUGCAUGGAGCCGACCUUGAAAUACCACCCUUUAAUGUUUGAUGUUCUAACGUGGACCCGUGAUCCGGGUUGCGGACAGUGUCUGGUGGGUAGUUUGACUGGGGCGGUCUCCUCCUAAAGAGUAACGGAGGAGCACGAAGGUUGGCUAAUCCUGGUCGGACAUCAGGAGGUUAGUGCAAUGGCAUAAGCCAGCUUGACUGCGAGCGUGACGGCGCGAGCAGGUGCGAAAGCAGGUCAUAGUGAUCCGGUGGUUCUGAAUGGAAGGGCCAUCGCUCAACGGAUAAAAGGUACUCCGGGGAUAACAGGCUGAUACCGCCCAAGAGUUCAUAUCGACGGCGGUGUUUGGCACCUCGAUGUCGGCUCAUCACAUCCUGGGGCUGAAGUAGGUCCCAAGGGUAUGGCUGUUCGCCAUUUAAAGUGGUACGCGAGCUGGGUUUAGAACGUCGUGAGACAGUUCGGUCCCUAUCUGCCGUGGGCGCUGGAGAACUGAGGGGGGCUGCUCCUAGUACGAGAGGACCGGAGUGGACGCAUCACUGGUGUUCGGGUUGUCAUGCCAAUGGCACUGCCCGGUAGCUAAAUGCGGAAGAGAUAAGUGCUGAAAGCAUCUAAGCACGAAACUUGCCCCGAGAUGAGUUCUCCCUGAGACUUUAGGUCUCCUGAAGGAACGUUGAAGACGACGACGUUGAUAGGCCGGGUGUGUAAGCGCAGCGAUGCGUUGAGCUAACCGGUACUAAUGAACCGUGAGGCUUAACCUU
Molecule: ribosomal RNA, 1733 nt
Filed under: Salmonella enterica
Lineage: Bacteria; Pseudomonadati; Pseudomonadota; Gammaproteobacteria; Enterobacterales; Enterobacteriaceae
Description: partial 23S ribosomal RNA
Rfam family: Bacterial large subunit ribosomal RNA
Source: RNAcentral